GGCUCUGUAGCUCAAUUGGUUAGAGCGUGGUGCUUAUAACGCCGAGGUUGCGGGUUCAAUCCCCGCCAGAGCUA
This 74-nucleotide transfer RNA is filed under the name archaeon. Its description in RNAcentral is "tRNA-Ile". It matches the Rfam family "tRNA". From Rfam's summary of the family: Transfer RNA (tRNA) molecules are approximately 80 nucleotides in length. Their secondary structure includes four short double-helical elements and three loops (D, anti-codon, and T loops). The record is from RNAcentral.